This 428-nucleotide ribosomal RNA is filed under the name uncultured bacterium. RNAcentral's name for it is "bacterial SSU rRNA". It matches the Rfam family "Bacterial small subunit ribosomal RNA", at positions 18 to 440 of the family's 1533-position model. The record is from RNAcentral.
CCUGGCUCAGAACGAACGCUGGCGGCGUGCCUAACACAUGCAAGUCGAACGAGAAUCCGGACUUCGGUCCGGUAGUAAAGUGGCGCACGGGUGAGUAACACGUGGGUAACGUACAUCGUAGUGGGGGAUAACCAGGUGAAAGCUUGGCUAAUACCGCAUGAGUCCGUCGGAACGCAGGUUCUGGCGGGGAAAGAGGAGCAAUCCUCGCUACGAGAUCGGCCCGCGGCCCAUUAGCUAGUUGGUGGGGUAAUGGCCCACCAAGGCUACGAUGGGUAGCUGGUCUGAGAGGAUGAUCAGCCACACUGGAACUGAGACACGGUCCAGACUCCUACGGAGGCAGCAGUGGGGAAUUUGUCGCAAUGGGCGAAAGCCUGACGCAGCAACGCCGCGUGUGUGACGAAGGCCCUGGGUUGUAAAGCACUGUGGGC